RNAcentral lists this ribosomal RNA (480 nucleotides) under Neisseria flavescens. Its description in RNAcentral is "bacterial SSU rRNA". It matches the Rfam family "Bacterial small subunit ribosomal RNA", at positions 30 to 497 of the family's 1533-position model. The record is from RNAcentral. Lineage: Bacteria; Pseudomonadati; Pseudomonadota; Betaproteobacteria; Neisseriales; Neisseriaceae.
AUUGAACGCUGGCGGCAUGCUUUACACAUGCAAGUCGGACGGCAGCACAGAGAAGCUUGCUUCUUGGGUGGCGAGUGGCGAACGGGUGAGUAACAUAUCGGAACGUACCGAGUAAUGGGGGAUAACUAAUCGAAAGAUUAGCUAAUACCGCAUAUUCUCUGAGGAGGAAAGCAGGGGACCUUCGGGCCUUGCGUUAUUCGAGCGGCCGAUAUCUGAUUAGCUAGUUGGUGGGGUAAAGGCCUACCAAGGCGACGAUCAGUAGCGGGUCUGAGAGGAUGAUCCGCCACACUGGGACUGAGACACGGCCCAGACUCCUACGGGAGGCAGCAGUGGGGAAUUUUGGACAAUGGGCGCAAGCCUGAUCCAGCCAUGCCGCGUGUCUGAAGAAGGCCUUCGGGUUGUAAAGGACUUUUGUCAGGGAAGAAAAGGCUGUUGCUAAUAUCGACAGCUGAUGACGGUACCUGAAGAAUAAGCACCGGC